RNAcentral lists this ribosomal RNA (1068 nucleotides) under Metacrangonyx sp. 1 MDMBR-2012. RNAcentral describes it as "16S ribosomal RNA". The stretch from base 847 to 1005 matches the Rfam family "Archaeal large subunit ribosomal RNA", at positions 2544 to 2703 of the family's 2987-position model. The record is from RNAcentral. Lineage: Eukaryota; Metazoa; Arthropoda; Malacostraca; Amphipoda; Metacrangonyctidae.
GAACUGUAAAGGAGCAAUUUAAAAACAGAUAAAGAAUAAAUAAGAAGUAAUACCUUUUGUAUCAGGGUUUGUUAAUAUAUUCAUUUACAGAAAGAUUUCGAAAUUACUUGAUCUAGAAGAAGAUGAGAUUAUUUAUAGCAAAAAUUAUGUUUAUUUCUUUUUAGAGGUGAAAAUUCAGACGAAUGUAAUGAUAUCUAAUUAAAAAUGAAAUAAUAAAGUUAUUAUUUUGUAAAAAAUAAAUUUAAUCAGGUAAGCUGAUUAAAUUUAAAUAAAAAUAUAAUUUAUUGAUAACUAGGCUUUUGAUUAGCUAUGUUUAUAAUUUGUAUUGAAUAAUCUUUAAAAGAAAAUAUGAAAUUUAUAAGUAAUUUUUUAUCUUUAAAAAUAAAUAAGAAGGAUUAAUAAUGAUUAAAUUAGUAUUUUUGAGUGUUAAUAUAUAUAUAUUAACUAGAUUAAUUUUUGACUGUUUAACAAAAACAUUUUUUUCUAGAGGUGUAGAAAAUACAACCUGCCCAGUGAAAGUUUAACGGCUGCGGUAUUUUGACCGUGCUAAGGUAGCAUAAUAAAUUGUUUUUUAAUUGAGAACUGGAAUGAAAGGUUAAACAACUAUUAAAUUUAUUAGAUUUAAUAGAGGAAUUUUUAUUAUAAGUAAGAAUACUUAUAUGUUAUAAAGGGACGAUAAGACCCUAGAAGCUUUAAUUCGAGAGUGUGUAAAUGAGUUAUAUUUUACAUUUUAUACAAGAUAGAAUUUUGAUUGGGGAAAUAUUAAUUUUAUUAAUAAUUAUUUUUUUUAGGUUAAGAAAUAUUCUAAGUCUUUUAGAUUAAAAGAAAAAGGUUAGUUACUCUAGGGAUAACAGCGUAAUAAUUUUGGAUAGGCCUUAUAUAUAAAAUUGAUUACGACCUCGAUGUUGAAUUAGAAUAUCUUUAUAAAGUAGAAAUUAUAGGAGAAGGUUUGUUCAACCUUUAAUAUUUUACAUGAUUUGAGUUCAAACCGGUUUAAGCCAGGUUGGUUUCUAUCUUUUAUAAGAAAAUAAUUUUUUAGUACGAAAGGACCAAAUAAUUUUAAUAAUU